RNAcentral lists this transfer RNA (77 nucleotides) under Brevundimonas nasdae. RNAcentral's name for it is "tRNA-Cys". The record is from RNAcentral. Lineage: Bacteria; Pseudomonadati; Pseudomonadota; Alphaproteobacteria; Caulobacterales; Caulobacteraceae.
GGCCUGAUGGCGGAGUGGCGACGCGACGGGGGUGCAACCCCGUAAACCCUCCGUUCGACUCGGAGGUCAGGCCUCCA